GGUUGGUCAAAGGUAGUGAGUUAUCUCACUUGAUUAUUUAUUCACAGUCAGUUUCAGAUUGAACUCCUUGUUCUACUAUUUUCCCCCCUUCUCACCACUGCACUUGACUAGUCUUAA
Molecule: Y RNA, 117 nt
Filed under: Microcebus murinus (gray mouse lemur)
Lineage: Eukaryota; Metazoa; Chordata; Mammalia; Primates; Cheirogaleidae
Description: Y RNA (ENSMICG00000022532.3)
Rfam family: Y RNA
About the family: Y RNAs are components of the Ro ribonucleoprotein particle (Ro RNP), in association with Ro60 and La proteins.
Source: Rfam by way of RNAcentral